GAAGCGAGAUUACAUUCGACACAUGUCAUCUAGGAGUUCUAUUGGGGUGCGUCCAAAUGGAUUUCUUAGCAUAUGGUAUGUCCCAUGCAAACCAUGCACCUAUCUUGCAUCAAGAUUAGCACUAUCUCCAAAUAGAUCGAACCGACCUUCCACUUGAGCCUCUUGACCUAGGAUUAUCAUCGGGUGCUCCCACAAUAGUUUCUGUGCCU
Molecule: long non-coding RNA, 209 nt
Filed under: Sorghum bicolor (sorghum)
Lineage: Eukaryota; Viridiplantae; Streptophyta; Magnoliopsida; Poales; Poaceae
Description: long non-coding RNA (SBIC_LNC016014)
Source: RNAcentral